Molecule: ribosomal RNA, 460 nt
Filed under: uncultured bacterium
Lineage: Bacteria
Description: partial 16S ribosomal RNA
Rfam family: Bacterial small subunit ribosomal RNA
Source: RNAcentral
CCUACGGGUGGCAGCAGUGAGGAAUAUUGGUCAAUGGACGAGAGUCUGAACCAGCCAAGUAGCGUGAAGGAUGACUGCCCUAUGGGUUGUAAACUUCUUUUAUAAAGGAAUAAAACGAGGCACGUGUGCCUUUUUGCAUGUACUUUAUGAAUAAGGAUCGGCUAACUCCGUGCCAGCAGCCGCGGUAAUACGGAGGAUCCGAGCGUUAUCCGGAUUUAUUGGGUUUAAAGGGAGCGUAGAUGGGUUGUUAAGUCAGUUGUGAAAGUUUGCGGCUCAACCGUAAAAUUGCAAUUGAUACUGGCAGUCGUGAGUACAGUUGAGGUAGGCGGAAUUCGUGGUGUAGCGGUGAAAUGCUGAGAUAUCACGAAGAACCCCGAUUGCGAAGGCAGCUUACUAGACUGUGACUGACAUUGAUGCUCGAAAGUGUGGGUAUCAAACAGGAUUAGAUACCCGUGUAGUC